UAGGAAGACCCCAAUUCGAAGGAUCUUUCCCCUCCCAGGGUGGGCGUUUGACCACCUUGCCCCCUGAAUACAGCACAGGCUGAGCAGGGCAAUUCCUGCUGUGUCACCUCUCCUCUGUGCCUCAGUCUCACCCUUCUAACUUACCCCAAGGGAUGCAGUUGGAGCACGUGCCAAGCUGUCUGGGACUUAAGAGAUCAGUUCUAGGAGGACGUUGGAGGCACACACCUAAUGGUCCUGAGCUUGUCACCAUCACCUAAUUGGCCACCAUCCAUUGAAGCCUCAGUUUCCUCAUCUGAAAAGUCUGUAGUUUCAAGCUCAAAUGAAGACAUCCUGGCCCUCUUGCUGUUUCUCACACACAACAUUCCAUAUUCUUCCCUCUGUGACUUGGCAUGGCGCUAAGUCCACGUCUGGAAUGUGCCUUCUUCCCACCUCCAACUCUCCAAACGAGAAUCGACUUUCCUCCAGAACGUUAGAGGAAAUGGAGAUGCCCAGUUAUACCCAGGCACAGCCCACAGUUCUCCAUUGCCACAAGGACACAGAUGUGCAUGGCUCUUUGGCUUUUUUUAUGGUUUUUACACAAUAGAGGAACAGGAACACAUCAGCCAAGCUGUGAUUAGAUCCUAGUGUGUACUGCCUCUCCCAAGAGCGGGGAGUUUGAUAGAAAACAUUCCAAGGACACAAAACUCAAAGGUUAUACUGAGAGUCACCACAUGAAGUCACAUUGCUCAUCUCUGUUGUUGCUCAGUCAUGUCUGACUCUUUGCAACCCCAUUUGAGUUUUUUUUUUGGCAAAAAUAUUGGGGAAACUGAGGCUGAGAGAAUUCCAGUGACUUUCUCAGGAUCACAGAGCUAGGUAGCAUUCAAACCCAGAUGUUCUUAAUUCCAAGUGCAGCACUCUGUCAACUGUGCCACCUAACUAGGAAGAUGUGAGAUGAGGACGAGAAGGCAGGAUUUGUUCCUCCCUCAAACAACAAGGGCUUUGAGUGAGAAAAAGAAUGGGGCAGGAGACCCCUGAUACAUGGACACUGAUCAGCAAGUAUAAGUGCCAUUUGCUGUUUCCUUCUACUCCAAGCCUCUGCAGGAGACCAGCAGACAGGAGCUGGUCUUCUUGGGAGCCGAUCUCUGGUACAACGGGGGAAACUUCUGGGACUAAAACGGUGAUUGAGCAAUUGAGGAUUGUCAUUCCUAUUCAGGACACUUCAUGGGCGCCAGGAGAUCCCUUAUUCGGUCUAAGCCCAAGUCACUUUGGGACUUCCCUUAAGAUGAGCAUCAGAGAUGGAACUGGACCCCAGGACUCCUGAUUUCUACCCCCAGCUGGCUCCUUGACUCAGCCUGCUUCUCCAGAGCAUCCGGGAGCCCGGGAGAAUGUCUUCCAUUUGUAUAGGCCUUGGCCCUUCUCAUCUAUGAUCAGAAAGCCUGAGUAGAAAGGACCCUUUUAAGGCAAGGCAGCUCUUCCACUGGAGACAUGAAAAACGGAGGCCCAGGUUCACAUCGUGGAAUAGCAAGUGGCAGAGCCCAGAACUUCUACUGCCAAGUCCACCGUUGACUCUAGACACCACGGUGCCAGAGAGGCAAGUGCCAGAAGACUCCUGCACCCAGGGGCAGGCAGGCAGACACAGGUCACCUUAGUGAACUCUGUGCCUUGUGAUGGUAGAACAGAAAAGGAGAAAGAAGAGGCCAAGAGAGAAGAAGGGCAGGCCAAAGGGUUCCACUUCCUGGAAGUGGCUCCCUUCUCAGCCCCUCUCUCCUCCUCCAUAAGCCAGUCAGCUCUAUCUCCAGAUCUUUUAAAAGCACUGACCAGAUGCCAGACACUGGGGAGGGGGAGACAGCCUGGAACCAGGCCCUGCCCUUCAGGAGCCUUCAUUGUAUUGGGGCAUAGGGAAGCUGCUUUGGCUAAAGGAGAGAGUGUUGGGAGAGUCCUCUGGAAAGGCAGGCUAGAAGGUAAAUAUGAAGGGAGAAAUGUGGAUGUGAUCCUGAAGGCUUAGAUAAGGGCCCCUGAAGAGUGGUUGCCACUUGGAGAAGGCCCUUUGCCUCCGGGGAGCUCCCUAGACCAGAGGUGGCAUUCGGAACUCUCCAGACCGGCCUCAGAGCUGAGAAAUUUCUCUACUUCUGGUCACUGUGAAAAGGCUCAUCUUCUUGGGAGGAACAGGAUCCUGCCUUCUUCCCUGUCUCCCUGCACUCUGCCUCCCCAGGCUGGCCCUGCAGGGGCCCGGGCCUUGGCACCGCCAGCAUUUUCUCCUCUGAAUGCCUCCAGGGAUGCCAGCAUGAGGCCAGGUCCCCAGACAGCUGUGCGGAGCCCAC
Molecule: long non-coding RNA, 2300 nt
Organism: Monodelphis domestica (gray short-tailed opossum)
Lineage: Eukaryota; Metazoa; Chordata; Mammalia; Didelphimorphia; Didelphidae
Source: Ensembl